UUCGUCGCUGCUGCAUUGUAAGUUUACGACCAAGAACGAUCUCCGAGUGACUGACACAGCUCCCAAGAUCUCACGUUUAUCCUCUCAUUUUAUGCUCUCAUAUAGACUAUGUUUUAAAAAUAAUGAGGCAUACCACAAAACCCUAAAUAAAAAUCUCCUACAAUGAAAAUAAAAACGUUAGAUAGCAAAGCCAAUUUGUAACACAUUCUUAGUUGACCUUCAACUGUUGUAACUUCAGUUAUGCAUUUGGUGAUUUCAUAUUCACAAUAUACAUAUGUACAGAAGCCAAGAAUUCCUUGAGAAACUGUUUAUAGUUUACUUAAUUCACAGUUAAAUUAGAGCUUUUUAAAAACCUAUGUAGUUUAUUCUUUCUAAAUGCUGUGUGUCCUCCACCACAUAGCAAACUAACAUUGUAAUCUGGGCCCAGUUAUUUUGCUUUUAUGCAUUGAACUCUUAACCCUUUGAAUUCUUAUGUCAAGGCAAAUUUGCCAUCUUUGAUUUCCUGUUCCAAUCCCUUACAUUGCAUUGCAUUGCAGUGCAUAGAAACAUGUUCCAUGAUUCAAGAAACAGCAGAUCCAUCUCAACAAAAUAUUAGAACAGGAAUUUAAAGAUGACAAACCUGACUCAACAUAGGAGUUCAAAAGGUUAAAAAUGAAGAAAUGUACCACAUGAAAAAGAAAACCAAUAACAGGGAUGAGUGAAUAUUCCGUAAUUAUAUUGAUAUUGAAAAAUUAAGAACAUUAAUCUUUGAUAUCAAUAAAUUAUACUAAUGAAAGAAAACUUAAUGAAAAUUUUACAAAUUUGUUGAAUAUUUGAGUGGCUCUUGAUUGUUUAUUUAGUUUAUAUGAAAUAAAUGUACAACAUACCUUAAUUAUAUGUACCACUAAAGAAAUUAUAGAAUACAUCUGUUUCAAUUCUAAAAUGUUAUGCAACAUAUCCAUUCAGUCAUAUAGAUCUGGAAUAGGGUACAUAAGUCUUGAGUUAAGGAUGUGCUAAAAUAUAACUUGUUCUCAAAUAUAAUAUUAAAUUAAAAACAAAAUGGCCUAAAACACAAUAUGACUUUGAUUAUAAGACAUUCUUUAGUCUAAUGAAACUUUAGAUGUAAAUAUAUGAAAUAAAAAUAUAUGACAACCCUGAUUAUAGAACAACUUUUAUUUUAAGACACCCUCGAAUAACAGGUGACCUCGAUUGCAUGAUGACCUUAAACAUAUAUCUAUAUUAAAUAUAAGACAAAUAAUUUUAAAUAACUUAAAAUUUAAUAAAAAUUUUGCAGUGGCCAAGUUCCCGAGAGCAACAAUGUUUAGUUUUCAUUUCAGUAAAGUAAAUAUUAAUUUAUAAUUUCCUAUAAAUAUUAACGAAGUGCAAAUUUCACCCAAGCUAGGUUAAGCAUUAGGUAACUAAGCUUUGCUUAAGGUUACCCUAAGCUUUUAAGCUUAGCUUAAAGUUUUACAUUUCACCAGACAUUCCUCAUAUGCCACUAAUCUCACGGUUACACAAUUACAAGGCAGUGGCAAUUGUUUUUUGAUCUUUUUGGGUUCAUAUCAAGCUGUAUUUUAAACAAAUAAAGUUCAGAAAUAAAAGAAAUAUUAUAGUGUGAUUUGCAGUAUUUUAUUUAAUAAGAUCUAAAUUUAAUACUAUAUUUUGAAGUGUGUAUUUCAUAGUGUGUUUUUGAAAUUUUUAUAACAGUGAGUAUUAUUUUAAUAAACGGAAACACUAAAGACACUGUGCCGACAUUUUCCAGAGUUCUGGUGCUUUCUGUAUGUAGUCUUCAUGAUGAGAAAAACAGCAGGUGUUAGCUUCCACGGGAAAACUGUAAAUUUAUCAGGGUUUUAAGGCAGCCAAUCAGAAACGACUUGGCGAUUUGAAAUUUUGUGUACUCUAUAAAUGCCUCGAUGUUAAGGGUAAUGCAUUUGAUAUGGUAUUGUGUCCUUGUAGGUAGGAAGAGCUGUGUGGUGAUUGAUUGGUGAGCUAAUGCAGCUGCGUAAUCCGUGAGUGGCUGUAGGCAGUUGUGUCGCCUCAUCAGUCAUUUGAACGUUGUGUUGAUAGGUCAAGCCUUUUGAAGGCUCUCUUUCUUUCUCUCUCUUUAUUAGUGUAUAAAGGUGGACAAUUUCACAUCUGGGGGCUGGGGACACGUUUCAAUUAAUGAGUGUCAACUUUUGUUUCUUAUUUUUCUAACAUUUUUAACUGGAGUUUAGGCUCCAUACAUGCAGCACAGUCCAAGGUGGCCAGCCGGUCCACCGGGACACAGUUCCAUUGCUCAGUACCUAGGAGACCAAGGGUCACUCGGGAUAUUCUUUCGUGAAGGCACAGGACUGCGAGGAGCAAUCGGCAAGAGUGAGUGAGUAACGGACAUGUCGUUUUGACUUGAGAAGAACAAAUUCCAAAAUUUAUUUUAAACUCUUUUAUAUUAACUCAACCAUUAACAGUUUAACAAAAAUUAACAAUCUAUCUACGUACCUGCAACACCAGAUGGAAUUUUUUCAAGUAUUUUCUGUAUAUGCAAGGAACAAUCGUCAUGGGCAUAACUGUCAUUUGCCACAACACAUAUAUUCAUUUCCUUUAAUUUUUUACAAUUUUUAACAAGUUAAAUGUGGAGCUUUAGCUUAUACAUUAAGGUACCUCAGUUGGUGUAUUUUUAAAAUUUAUUUUUAAAUAUAAUUUUUCAAAUAAAAAAUGCAAGAUCUUUCUAGUUUUUUCUAACAAUUGCAAUAACAUAGCUUUAUUUUAAUUUUAAUUCUUUGGAAAUCCAUUAAUUUUUUUCAACAAAAUUUUUUAAAGGCAUAAAAUGUAGUUUUAGAUAAAGUUAUUUGUUUUGGAUGAAAUCUUAGAUUUAGCUUUAAGAAAAUUAUGAAAAUGUAUUUAUGAAGUGUUUGAAUGUGUGUGUUACGUUUAGAUGUGAUUGGUACAGUAAUUAGUGAACUAUAACUCUAUCAUUAUACUAGCCUUCAAACUUUCUUCCUUAGGUUAAAUAGUAAAAUCAUGUUUUUAAUUAAACAUGCAACUCUUUAUUCCCAGUAAUUAAAAGACAUUAGAGAUUUACGAAAUAGGUACAUCACUUAUGUAAAUGUCCAAGCAGUUAUUAUUAACUUUGUGGUAUAUUUAGAAAGGGUCAUUCUAAUACUAAUAAAUUAAUGACAAAUUAGUGUCAUACUUAGUUUACUUAUGAAAUGUAUUAUCGUGAAGCAAGAGUAAGAGAAAAUUUUAAGUUUCAAUGGUUAUAUGUAUAUAACUUUUAUCACAACAGCAAACUAAAGUAUUUAAAUAUGAAUUAGGUAACUAACUUAUUUAUUUGAUAACAAUUGCAUAAAAGUAUAUGUGAAAAGAUUUCAUUAUAAAAAUAAUGUAUGCAACAUUUGUUUGAUGGAAACAUUUAAAAUCUUCAUCAUCUCAAUCAUAUUUAUCUUAAGUUAUUCUUACUUAAACAUUAGUUUAUUUAUGUGUAUAUUGUUCCUGUCAACAAAUUACAGCUGACACUAUUGUGCAGCAAUUUUGCUGCCUGCUAAACUAUUGAUAAGAUAUUAAAUACCUGACAUUCAACAUAUAAAGUUAAGCUUUGGGUAUCUGAAAUGCAAUUUGUUACUAAACCACACUAAGGGUUCUUAAACUCAACUUAAAAUCUUAAUCGUUCACGGUGAAACUUUCUCCGAGAAGCGAAUACUGGUAAUUUGAAUUUAUUACACUUAGUUUACUUUUCUUCUCAUAUUCCAAAAGAACAAGGGACUUUUCAUGAUUCUGUAAUCAAUAUUCAACAAGAGGUGAACGUUAAUGAAUAAAAAGUUGUUUCUAUUUUAUUUUCAAGUAACUUCUCUAUCUUUCUGCCUCAUUUAAUGUAUCAGUAUUCAAACCACCCUAAAAUUUAUUUUAUAUGUUUUAUAGUACAUCAAGACAGCACAUUACGUAUCACACUAAGGUGCCAAUUAGACUAAAUGUACUUUAUUAUUUUGAUAAAUAAAUAUAAUUUAUGCCUAGAAAUAUAUAUUUUUAUUUUCAAGUUUUGUAAGUGAUUAUAUAUAUCUAACUCUAUCUCUAUAUCUCUCUCUCUAGCUCUCUCUAUAUCUAUAUCUCGCUCAAUUAUUGGUUUUAAUAUUGUUAAGCAAAAAUGACUGGGUAAAAAAAAAACUUGAGGAAAUUGUGAUUUAAUACAGUAUGUACAAAAAUUUCAGUUGGAAACAUUUCCUUACAAUGCACAGAAGCUACAUGUAAAGAUACUUCCAUCAUGCCUGGAUAUUUACGACAGGGGAGCCUUGUGCUUAAGCCCGUAAGUGCAAAGCAGAGCGGCUGGUGACGGGUCUCGCCCACGGAACAGCCUAAACACUCUGCUGGCGUGCAUCCCUCCACCACGGGACAGGAAAGCAGAUCGGAACCUGAAAUGCCACCAGCGCAAUUAACUGUAGUUCAGCACCAUGCUCUUCGAAAAAACUCUCCAUGCUCUCCUGGUUACGUAUAAGUCCAACACUUCAGGUUAUAAAUGAUCAAUACCUCGUAUAAAGUCUGCCUCAUGCUUAGAUUACAGGACAGAGAAAAUAGCACGCCCAGUUCCAGAUUGAUACUACCUGGCUUGUUCACACUGAUAUUCUUAUUUUUCCAACCAUAAAAUAGUGUCUUCAGACAGUAUUACUACAGUUGUAUACAUUCUAAAAGAAAACAAAAUGUAUAAACACCAAUCAUUAUUUUUUAACAGGAGAAACUAUUUGUAGCAAUUGGUUACUCUUAAUAACAAGGCAUCCCAUUAAUUACUUAUAUGGUCAAACACAGCCAAAUUUUUUAAAUUAUUAAAUUGUAAAGGUGCCUAAUUGUUUUUACAUUAAAAUGUAGCUUAUCGAAAGUCCUGACAACACCAGUGUUCACUGGAAAAAAAAGGGGAUGAGAGAAAAGGAACAGAACGGGAGAGAACGGGGAGAGAGGAGCGUGCUAGAUUCAUGAUCUUCGCACUUGCCACAUGUCUAUAAGGUUUCUCAGGAGUUAGUCAUCGUGUCCUUCAAUUGAUACAUCAACAGGUAUAGUAGAACUCCUUUUUUACACUAUUAAAGGGGGUAAGGGAAAUGUAUGAAAAAUCCUUUAUUUGCUCAAAGAACUGUAAUAUUAUAUGACUUAAACAUAUUGUACUCUGAUAUACACAAAAUAAUUCAUUAUGAGUGUCUGAAGCAAUAAUUAUACACUUAAGCCCAUAUUUACAUUCUGUAGUGUGUAUAGGUAAGCAUACAGUCUAUGCAUAUACUUCAUACUUAAAUUAGCAAUUCAUAAUAACAUUGCAUUUACUGGUUAAGAAUAUUACCAAAAAUAUCACAAAACAUAAGGAAAGUGAAUUAAAGCAAAAGUUAUAUUUUUCAAAGAAAACAAAUAUACACCAAGAUUUCUCAAAAAAAUAAUGAAUUCGAGGCCAUUGCACCCACAAACCAUUCCAUCAAAAGUAUUUUAAGUACCUCAUAUUUUGUGCGAGCACCCGCCGCCGCACUGCGUACCACGGUAAGCUCUAGCCGCCUUGAGACUUGACUCUAUGCUGUAGUUGCUGUGCUGUUAAUUAGUAAAUUCAACACAAUAUAUUUUAAUUUUUAUUAUGAUUUUAAAUUUUUUUGUGUGGAAAUUUUAUUUGCUCUACUAUAGUGUGAUUUUACUUUGUUAGUCUGGUGUACCCCUCUGAGUUAAACUUUGUCUCAGUGCUCUGAAGCCCCUUUCCCAUCGGCGUAUCGGAUAUUUUGCUGGCCUAAUCCCUGACUGGCAGACCGCUUACCAUUUCCCCCGCCUUCUGUCACGCCUCAAGCCUGUAAUAUUAUUUCCCUUCGUGACCCUAACUGCAUAGGCAAGGCUGUAGCUUGCAGGCGACCAGUUCGCAGAGACGAGCUGAGAUCCGCCUUUUUCAUCACGUCUUAGUAUUGUGUUCGCCCCUCUGUAGCCACGACGGGGCGUAGUUUCCCAUCAGCGUUGCAUUUUACCCCACCUCCCCCCCUUCUCAGUUCCAAGUAAGACCAAUGACCGGUCGUAACCCCCUGGGCACCGGUGACCGUUCUCUAGGUCUGCCGUGCAAAAACGAAGGCGCCAAAACUGAUCACAAGCGCUUCCUAGCGGCCAAGUCGCGAACUUCUCCGCUUGCCUACCCUCUAGGGCACCAGAGAGCAGCACCGCUCUCCCUUGAGUUAUAUGGACGCCCGGCGCGAGUCGAUUCUUUUCAACUCAGCCGCCUCCGACAGAGUUCUCUACGGUCGCCCAGUGUGGCCAACUUCAAGACUCCUGCUAGAGUUUUUUUUCUGCCCGCGUUCGGGCAAGUUCGGUAUUUUUCGGCGGACCAGACACCCCCCCCCUUCCACCUGUUAGAGCCGGUGGGCACUUUUUAAUUACGAGAUGCCGUUUACCGCGAACAGAUCAACUCGCGUCGCGGCUGCAGACAGACCUACAUCGAGUAUCGGCGAAUCGGCUAGAUUUCAUCCGACCGUUAACGAAUAUGUAGUCGCCUUGUAUAAGGGAUGCUAUCCCUCAAGUCCAUUUUAGUAGAUUAGUCUGUCUGCAUAGUUUAGUUAUUUGCCUUAGAAAUUUUUCUCUUUGAAAUUUAUUAUUAUGAAGAAAUCAUCCGCGUCCUGCCGCGCAAUUCGCGAGCUCCCGAGCCUGGCUGACUCCACGACUGCAGCGUGCUGGGCAUAUCCCCUGUUUUGACAGGGUUCGAUGACCGGGAGAGAUUGAUGCUCUCAUCUCGUGGCCUCCCCCCCUUCCCUGUUCCGUGGGAAGAAACAUUAGAAGAAACUUUUCUACCACCCGAAGUGAUCGUUUGAAGACCCCGGGUGGUAAUGUAAAUUCAACAUUUCCCCCUUACCGAGCUACAAACUAUUUUAAGCGGACGACCAACCCACCAGCGACCAGUGUUUUUCCCAAGGAAAAUGUAAAACAAAUAGAACUUAUUAUCAAUGUAAUCAUCGGAUCCAUCCACCUUUGGGUGUAAAACUCAUAAUGCAAAUGUUUAUAGUUCAAACUAAAAAUGUAAAUUAUUCUCAGUAAGCCGGGCCGGCCCCAAUUUCGUGUUCCUUUUGUUAAUCUUGGAAAAUUGUUAAAUCUUUUGUAUGUAUGUUAAAAUAAUUGAAACAUGAUAUUCUUCAGGGCAAAUAAAACAGGGAAACUAUAGAUCAAGU
Molecule: long non-coding RNA, 7118 nt
Organism: Bacillus rossius redtenbacheri
Lineage: Eukaryota; Metazoa; Arthropoda; Insecta; Phasmatodea; Bacillidae
Exons: 2
Source: RefSeq, a predicted model, not a curated record